This 401-nucleotide long non-coding RNA is filed under the name Malus domestica (apple). Its description in RNAcentral is "long non-coding RNA (MDOM_LNC011806)". The record is from RNAcentral. Lineage: Eukaryota; Viridiplantae; Streptophyta; Magnoliopsida; Rosales; Rosaceae.
GGAACACAUGUCGCAGAGUAUCGUCCUAUGUUGAAAGUCGUCUAACAAACCAAUUCGUCACCUAUGAGGCACAAUUCCGACACGAACUCUUGUAUUUCAACUAGAAGGUGACAAUUCAAACAGAGAAAUGUUUGCACAACUGAGUCAAAUGACACCAAAUCUAGAAGUCCUGACAUCCAAAUGAUGUUAAAACCGACACUUUACUAGAAUAGAAGAAAAUCCUAAGUAUGCUCUGAACAAACCACGCUCUGAUACCAAUCUGACACGCCCUGACCCUGAUAUUCCCUGAAUACAGGAUAGACACGUGCUGGCCGACACCCGAAGGUGACGAAAGCCAUUAAUUGAUACAAAAGCUAAGGAUAAGAAGUAAAUAAAAGUUAGAAAUUUAAAAUACAAUGAAA